CACUCCUGUUUCUGCCUCGUGUCCUUUUAAACGCUUCCACGGGACAUGGGUUCUAAUUAUGGAGAAGAUCAAGCUUUGAAAUGGCCUGUUCACACAUUUUGAUACAACCGUGAACAGUGUUCCGUUUCGAAGAUCGUGUGGGUUUCUAUCGUUUCGUACUCAUUGUGUUUUCAAAAAAAAAAUCUUUGAGUUGUUUAGAUGCCACUAUAUUU
The sequence is a small nucleolar RNA, 212 nucleotides long. It matches the Rfam family "Small nucleolar RNA snR43".